GAUGAACGCUGGCGGCGUGCUUAACACAUGCAAGUCGAACGAUGAAGCCCAGCUUGCUGGGUGGAUUAGUGGCGAACGGGUGAGUAACACGUGAGUAACCUGCCCUUUACUCUGGGAUAAGCCUGGGAAACUGGGUCUAAUACCGGAUAGGAGCGUCCACCGCAUGGUGGGUGUUGGAAAGAUUUAUCGGUUUUGGAUGGACUCGCGGCCUAUCAGCUUGUUGGUGAGGUAAUGGCUCACCAAGGCGACGACGGGUAGCCGGCCUGAGAGGGUGACCGGCCACACUGGGACUGAGACACGGCCCAGACUCCUACGGGAGGCAGCAGUGGGGAAUAUUGCACAAUGGGCGCAAGCCUGAUGCAGCGACGCCGCGUGAGGGAUGACGGCCUUCGGGUUGUAAACCUCUUUCAGUAGGGAAGAAGCGAAAGUGACGGUACCUGCAGAAGAAGCACCGGCUAACUACGUG
Molecule: ribosomal RNA, 466 nt
Filed under: uncultured bacterium
Lineage: Bacteria
Description: partial 16S ribosomal RNA
Rfam family: Bacterial small subunit ribosomal RNA
Source: RNAcentral